Molecule: ribosomal RNA, 484 nt
Filed under: uncultured bacterium
Lineage: Bacteria
Description: partial 16S ribosomal RNA
Rfam family: Bacterial small subunit ribosomal RNA
Source: RNAcentral
AUUGAACGCUGGCGGAAUGCUUUACACAUGCAAGUCGAACGGCAGCACGGGGGCAGCCCUGGUGGCGAGUGGCGAACGGGUGAGUAAUACAUCGGGACGUGCCCGGUCGUGGGGGAUAACGUAGCGAAAGUUACGCUAAUACCGCAUACGAUCUGAGGAUGAAAGCGGGGGACCUUCGGGCCUCGCGCGAUCGGAGCGGCCGAUGUCAGAUUAGGUAGUUGGUGGGGUAAAGGCCUACCAAGCCGACGAUCUGUAGCUGGUCUGAGAGGACGACCAGCCACACUGGGACUGAGACACGGCCCAGACUCCUACGGGAGGCAGCAGUGGGGAAUUUUGGACAAUGGGCGCAAGCCUGAUCCAGCCAUUCCGCGUGCAGGACGAAGGCCUUCGGGUUGUAAACUGCUUUUGUACGGAACGAAAAGGCUCUGGCUAAUACCUGGGGCUCAUGACGGUACCGUAAGAAUAAGCACCGGCUAGCUACGUG